UGGGGAAUAUUGCACAAUGGGGGAAACCCGUGAUGCAGCGACGCCGCGUGAAGGAAGAAGUAUCUCGGUAUGUAAACUUCUAUCAGCAGGGAAGAUAGUGACGGUACCUGAC
RNAcentral lists this ribosomal RNA (112 nucleotides) under uncultured bacterium. Its description in RNAcentral is "partial 16S ribosomal RNA". It matches the Rfam family "Bacterial small subunit ribosomal RNA", at positions 355 to 483 of the family's 1533-position model. The record is from RNAcentral.